AGUUUUUAUAGAUCAUGGGUAGAACGGAAUACUGUUAAUAUUCUGAUAAAUGUUCGAUUCAUUUUAAAGGCUU
This 73-nucleotide transfer RNA is filed under the name Bipolaris oryzae. Its description in RNAcentral is "tRNA-Asn". It matches the Rfam family "tRNA". Rfam says of the family: Transfer RNA (tRNA) molecules are approximately 80 nucleotides in length. Their secondary structure includes four short double-helical elements and three loops (D, anti-codon, and T loops). Lineage: Eukaryota; Fungi; Ascomycota; Dothideomycetes; Pleosporales; Pleosporaceae. The record is from RNAcentral.